This 460-nucleotide ribosomal RNA is filed under the name uncultured bacterium. RNAcentral describes it as "partial 16S ribosomal RNA". It matches the Rfam family "Bacterial small subunit ribosomal RNA", at positions 338 to 795 of the family's 1533-position model. The record is from RNAcentral.
CCUACGGGAGGCAGCAGUGAGGAAUAUUGGUCAAUGGACGAGAGUCUGAACCAGCCAAGUAGCGUGAAGGAUGACUGCCCUAUGGGUUGUAAACUUCUUUUAUAUGGGAAUAAAGUUUAGUAUGUAUACUGUUUUGUAUGUACCAUAUGAAUAAGGAUCGGCUAACUCCGUGCCAGCAGCCGCGGUAAUACGGAGGAUCCGAGCGUUAUCCGGAUUUAUUGGGUUUAAAGGGAGCGUAGGCGGAUUGUUAAGUCAGUUGUGAAAGUUUGCGGCUCAACCGUAAAAUUGCAGUUGAUACUGGCAGUCUUGAGUGCAGUAGAGGGAGGCGGAAUUCGUGGUGUAGCGGUGAAAUGCUUAGAUAUCACGAAGAACUCCGAUUGCGAAGGCAGCUCACUGGACUGUAACUGACGCUGAUGCUCGAAAGUGUGGGUAUCAAACAGGAUUAGAUACCCGAGUAGUC